Molecule: long non-coding RNA, 603 nt
Organism: Canis lupus familiaris (dog)
Lineage: Eukaryota; Metazoa; Chordata; Mammalia; Carnivora; Canidae
Exons: 3
Source: RefSeq, a predicted model, not a curated record
GAGGAAGUGAAUGAAAGGACAGGAGGAGCCCGAACACCAUGUCACUCUGGAAGGGAGACAGCAGCAACCAGGCUGUGCAAGUGAGUGGUGGAAGACGAAGGAUCUCUGAAGCCUCAUCAGUCAUCGGGACCAUCAGGAAUAGUGGUUUAAGAGGACGCUCGGCCUGGGGCACUAUACCCUGUCAUCGAGUUCCCUGCCUCGGAGAUAAAGAUUCCAGCUACAUGGGUAAACGCCUGGAUCAGCCACAAAUGUACCCCCAGUACACUUACUACUAUCCUCACUGUCUCUAAACCAAGGUAUGGCUCGACCCACAGUCUGGCAAGCAGUGUACUCUAGAGACUGAAGUUUGGAGCUUUACAAUAGAUGUUCUUUACUUUUCGAAGCUCUGUUUUUCUGUGCUGGCUGCCAUCAGGAGGCCUGUGGGUCUUGAAACGGGAUGAAAUAUAACUGAUGAUAAUUGGACACGAAUUGGUUAAAUACUUUAGUCUUGGGAUCCCUGGGUGGCGCAGUGGUUUGGCGCCUGCCUUUGGCCCAGGGCGUGAUCCUGGAGACCUGGGAUCGAAUCCCACGUCGGGCUCCCGGUGCAUGGAGCCUGCUUCUCCC